AAAUUUACAAUGCAUUUUCUUGUAAGUUACAGUGUAAUUUAUGAAACUUACAUUGUAACUUUUGUAAGUUACAGAGUAAUUUUUGAAUCUUCGCAUGUAAGUUUUAAAAUUUAUAUUGGAUUUGGUUUUUUUCUUGAAGAUAUGAU
This 146-nucleotide small nuclear RNA is filed under the name Oryza sativa Indica Group (long-grained rice). Its description in RNAcentral is "U2 spliceosomal RNA". The record is from RNAcentral. Lineage: Eukaryota; Viridiplantae; Streptophyta; Magnoliopsida; Poales; Poaceae.